This 253-nucleotide ribosomal RNA is filed under the name uncultured bacterium. Its description in RNAcentral is "partial 16S ribosomal RNA". It matches the Rfam family "Bacterial small subunit ribosomal RNA", at positions 524 to 776 of the family's 1533-position model. The record is from RNAcentral.
UACAGAGGGUGCGAGCGUUGUCCGGAAUCAUUGGGCGUAAAGCGCACGUAGGCGGUCUGUUAUGUCGGAUGUGAAAGCCCUUGGCUCAACUGAGGAAGUGCAUCCGAAACUGGCAGGCUAGAGUACGAAAGAGGAUCGCGGAAUUCCCGGUGUAGAGGUGAAAUUCGUAGAUAUCGGGAGGAACACCGGUGGCGAAGGCGGCGAUCUGGGUCGAUACUGACGCUGAGGUGCGAAAGCGUGGGGAGCAAACAGG